CGGGACACGUGGUAUCCUGUCUGAAUAUGGGGGGACCAUCCUCCAAGGCUAAAUACUCCUGACUGACCGAUAGUGAACCAGUACCGUGAGGGAAAGGCGAAAAGAACCCCGGCGAGGGGAGUGAAAAAGAACCUGAAACCGUGUACGUACAAGCAGUGGGAGCCUCUUUAUGGGGUGACUGCGUACCUUUUGUAUAAUGGGUCAGCGACUUAUAUUCUGUAGCAAGGUUAACCGAAUAGGGGAGCCGAAGGGAAACCGAGUCUUAACUGGGCGUUAAGUUGCAGGGUAUAGACCCGAAACCCGGUGAUCUAGCCAUGGGCAGGUUGAAGGUUGGGUAACACUAACUGGAGGACCGAACCGACUAAUGUUGAAAAAUUAGCGGAUGACUUGUGGCUGGGGGUGAAAGGCCAAUCAAACCGGGAGAUAGCUGGUUCUCCCCG
RNAcentral lists this ribosomal RNA (440 nucleotides) under Escherichia coli. RNAcentral describes it as "partial 23S ribosomal RNA". It matches the Rfam family "Bacterial large subunit ribosomal RNA", at positions 418 to 861 of the family's 2925-position model. Lineage: Bacteria; Pseudomonadati; Pseudomonadota; Gammaproteobacteria; Enterobacterales; Enterobacteriaceae. The record is from RNAcentral.